CCCUUAGAUGUUCUGGGCUGCACGCGUGUUACAAUCGGGAGUACAACAAGAUUGCAAAUCCUAGUGGAUGAGUGGUUCUUCGAAAUUUUCCGAAGACUGGGAUAGUUGAUUGAAAUUAUUCAACUCAAACGAGGAAUUCCUUGUAAUUGUAAUUCAUUAUAUUGUAAUGAAUACGUCCCUGCCCUUUGUACACACCGCCCGUCGCUCCUACCGAUUGAACGAUCCGGUGAAUUAUUUGGAGUAGCUCUGGAAGUUGCAGAACUUCCUAUGUCACGAAAUUUUGUAAACCUUAUCGUUUAGAGGAAGGAAAAGUCGUAACA
Molecule: ribosomal RNA, 320 nt
Filed under: uncultured eukaryote
Lineage: Eukaryota
Description: partial 18S ribosomal RNA
Rfam family: Eukaryotic small subunit ribosomal RNA
Source: RNAcentral